Molecule: ribosomal RNA, 421 nt
Filed under: uncultured Glomeraceae
Lineage: Eukaryota; Fungi; Glomeromycota; Glomeromycetes; Glomerales; Glomeraceae
Description: SSU rRNA
Rfam family: Eukaryotic small subunit ribosomal RNA
Source: RNAcentral
GGGAGGUAGUGACAAUAAAUAACAAUACGGGGUUCUUUCGGAUCUCGUAAUUGGAAUGAGUACAAUUUAAAUCUCUUAACGAGGAACAAUUGGAGGGCAAGUCUGGUGCCAGCAGCCGCGGUAAUUCCAGCUCCAAUAGCGUAUAUUAAAGUUGUUGCAGUUAAAAAGCUCGUAGUUGAAUUUCGGGGUCAGCAAGUUGGUCGUGCCACUGGUAUGCACUGGCUUUGCUGAUUCCUCCUUCUUGUAGAACCGUAAUGCCAUUAAGUUGGUGUUGCGGGAAAACAGGACUGUUACUUUGAAAAAUUAGAGUGUUUAAAGCAGGCUAACGCUUGAAUACAUUAGCAUGGAAUAAUGAAAUAGGACGACGAUCCUAUUUUGUUGGUUUCUAGGAUUGACGUAAUGAUUAAUAGGGAUAGUUGGG